Molecule: long non-coding RNA, 485 nt
Filed under: Vigna radiata
Lineage: Eukaryota; Viridiplantae; Streptophyta; Magnoliopsida; Fabales; Fabaceae
Description: long non-coding RNA (VRAD_LNC000571)
Source: RNAcentral
UCUCUCUCACCAAAAUUUCUCAUUUCCACUUCUUCCCUUUUCUUUUUCUUUUUCAUUGAGCUCAUCUUCAUGCUUUUCUUCUUUUCUUUUCUUUUUCUCAUGAAUUUUUCUCUUUUCAUAACAAUUGAGCUCAAUGCCUUUUACUUGCUUUUUCAAUUUUCCCCCGUACAACCCCAAACUUGAACCUUUUCAUCACAUACAAUUAAGCUNAUCCCAACUCAAGGUAAAGAGUUUCAAAACAAGGGUUCACAUACUGUUUAAGGCUAAGGUUCAAAAAGGGUAUAAUAUUUCAAGCACUUUGGUUGAAAAUUUGGCUAGAGAAGGGUUUUCAAAAAUGGCCUUGAUCAUAUGACAUUCACAUGCAAUUCAGUCAAUCAUCAAGAUUAAGGCAAUAUCAUCCAUGUUUUCCUGUGAACAAUACAUGCAACAAUAAAAACUCUAGAGCUCAAAAUCUCACACACAUGCUUCCUCACACAAAAUUCAUU